CUUGACACUGAACAUUGAGCCUUGAUGUGUAGGAUAGGUGGGAGGCUUUGAAGUGUGGACGCCAGUCUGCAUGGAGCCGACCUUGAAAUACCACCCUUUAAUGUUUGAUGUUCUAACGUUGACCCGUAAUCCGGGUUGCGGACAGUGUCUGGUGGGUAGUUUGACUGGGGCGGUCUCCUCCUAAAGAGUAACGGAGGAGCACGAAGGUUGGCUAAUCCUGGUCGGACAUCAGGAGGUUAGUGCAAUGGCAUAAGCCAGCUUGACUGCGAGCGUGACGGCGCGAGCAGGUGCGAAAGCAGGUCAUAGUGAUCCGGUGGUUCUGAAUGGAAGGGCCAUCGCUCAACGGAUAAAAGGUACUCCGGGGAUAACAGGCUGAUACCGCCCAAGAGUUCAUAUCGACGGCGGUGUUUGGCACCUCGAUGUCGGCUCAUCACAUCCUGGGGCUGAAGUAGGUCCCAAGGGUAUGGCUGUUCGCCAUUUAAAGUGGUACGCGAGCUGGGUUUAGAACGUCGUGAGACAGUUCGGUCCCUAUCUGCCGUGGGCGCUGGAGAACUGAGGGGGGCUGCUCCUAGUACGAGAGGACCGGAGUGGACGCAUCACUGGUGUUCGGGUUGUCAUGCCAAUGGCACUGCCCGGUAGCUAAAUGCGGAAGAGAUAAGUGCUGAAAGCAUCUAAGCACGAAACUUGCCCCGAGAUGAGUUCUCCCUGACUCCUUGAGAGUCCUGAAGGAACGUUGAAGACGACGACGUUGAUAGGCCGGGUGUGUAAGCGCAGCGAUGCGUUGAGCUAACCGGUACUAAUGAACCGUGAGG
This 812-nucleotide ribosomal RNA is filed under the name Escherichia coli. Its description in RNAcentral is "partial 23S ribosomal RNA". It matches the Rfam family "Bacterial large subunit ribosomal RNA", at positions 2110 to 2916 of the family's 2925-position model. The record is from RNAcentral. Lineage: Bacteria; Pseudomonadati; Pseudomonadota; Gammaproteobacteria; Enterobacterales; Enterobacteriaceae.